CCCUUCAGCAAAUACUCGGGGAUGAUCAACCAGGCCACGCCCUACACCUACCCAGCCCCAAAAUGUCCCUGAGAACACCCCAAACCCUUCAGCAAAUACUCGGGGAUGAUCAACCAGGCCACGCCCUACACCUACCCAGCAAAUACUCGGGGAUGAUCAACCAGGCCACGCCCUACACCUACCCAGCAAAUACUCGGGGAUGAUCAACCAGGCCACGCCCUACACCUACCCAGCAAAUACUCGGGGAUGAUCAACCAGGCCACGCCCUACACCUACCCAGGUACGGAGCUGAAACACCCUGAAAUGGCCCUAAAAAUACCCCCAAAUCAGUGUAAAAAUAGCCCUGAAAACACCCUAAAAUCAGUGUAAAAAUAUCCCCAAAAUAACCCUGAAAACACCCAAAACCCUUCAGCAAAUGCUCGGGGAUGAUCAACCAGGCCACGCCCUACACCUACCCAGGUAGUGAGCUAAAAACACACCAACAUCAGUAUAAAAACACCUCAAAAACAGCCCCAAAAUGUCCC
Molecule: long non-coding RNA, 524 nt
Organism: Passer montanus (Eurasian tree sparrow)
Lineage: Eukaryota; Metazoa; Chordata; Aves; Passeriformes; Passeridae
Exons: 5
Source: RefSeq, a predicted model, not a curated record